UGCCCAGCAAGUCCUAUCCCUAUCUCCUCAUGGUACUAGCUGGGGUACGAGCUAUCGUAUGGAAGAUCGGGUAACCAGCCUCGGUGGGAACUUUGAUCGUAUGUUGACAGGGAAGG
RNAcentral lists this ribozyme (116 nucleotides) under Aedes aegypti (yellow fever mosquito). Its description in RNAcentral is "drz-agam-1 ribozyme". It matches the Rfam family "drz-agam-1 ribozyme". Lineage: Eukaryota; Metazoa; Arthropoda; Insecta; Diptera; Culicidae. The record is from Rfam by way of RNAcentral.